GUGGGGAAUAUUGGACAAUGGGCGCAAGCCUGAUCCAGCCAUGCCGCGUGAGUGAUGAAGGCCUUAGGGUUGUAAAGCUCUUUUGUCCGGGAAGAUAAUGACUGUACCGGAAGAAUAAGCCCCGGCUAACUCCGUGCCAGCAGCCGCGGUAAUACGGAGGGGGCUAGCGUUGUUCGGAAUUACUGGGCGUAAAGCGCACGUAGGCGGAACAGAAAGUCAGAGGUGAGAUCCCAGGGCUCAACCUUGUAACUGCCUUUGAAACUCCUGUUCUUGAGUUCGAGAGAGGUGAGUGGAAGUCCGAGUGUAGAGGUGAAAUUCAUAUAUAUUCGGAAGAACACCAGUGGCGAAGGCGACAUACUGGCUCAUUACUGACGCUGAGGCUCGAAAGCGUGGGGAGCAAACAGGAUUAGAAACCCUAGUAGUCC
This 425-nucleotide ribosomal RNA is filed under the name uncultured bacterium. RNAcentral's name for it is "partial 16S ribosomal RNA". It matches the Rfam family "Bacterial small subunit ribosomal RNA", at positions 354 to 796 of the family's 1533-position model. The record is from RNAcentral.